AAAUUGAAGAGUUUGAUCAUGGCUCAGAUUGAACGCUGGCGGCAGGCCUAACACAUGCAAGUCGAGCGGUAGCACAGAGAGCUUGCUCUCGGGUGACGAGCGGCGGACGGGUGAGUAAUGUCUGGGAAACUGCCUGAUGGAGGGGGAUAACUACUGGAAACGGUAGCUAAUACCGCAUAACGUCGCAAGACCAAAGUGGGGGACCUUCGGGCCUCAUGCCAUCAGAUGUGCCCAGAUGGGAUUAGCUAGUAGGUGGGGUAAUGGCUCACCUAGGCGACGAUCCCUAGCUGGUCUGAGAGGAUGACCAGCCACACUGGAACUGAGACACGGUCCAGACUCCUACGGGAGGCAGCAGUGGGGAAUAUUGCACAAUGGGCGCAAGCCUGAUGCAGCCAUGCCGCGUGUAUGAAGAAGGCCUUCGGGUUGUAAAGUACUUUCAGCGAGGAGGAAGGCGUUAAGGUUAAUAACCUUGG
Molecule: ribosomal RNA, 473 nt
Filed under: Klebsiella planticola
Lineage: Bacteria; Pseudomonadati; Pseudomonadota; Gammaproteobacteria; Enterobacterales; Enterobacteriaceae
Description: bacterial SSU rRNA
Rfam family: Bacterial small subunit ribosomal RNA
Source: RNAcentral